UACGGAGGGUGCAAGCGUUGUUCGGAAUCACUGGGCGUAAAGCGCGUGUAGGCGGCCUUCUAAGUCUGGUGUGAAAGCCCGGGGCUCAUCCCCGGAAGUGCACUGGAAACUGGGAGGCUUGAGUACCGGAGAGGAGGGUGGAAUUCCUGGUGUAGCGGUGAAAUGCGUAGAUAUCAGGAGGAACACCGGUGGCGAAGGCGGCCCUCUGGACGGAUACUGACGCUGAGACGCGAAAGCGUGGGUAGCGAACAGG
RNAcentral lists this ribosomal RNA (253 nucleotides) under uncultured bacterium. RNAcentral describes it as "partial 16S ribosomal RNA". It matches the Rfam family "Bacterial small subunit ribosomal RNA", at positions 524 to 776 of the family's 1533-position model. The record is from RNAcentral.